CCUGUUUUGGCUCAGAUGGGAUUUUCGGGAUAAAUCCCGGAUCCUGGCCCGGAUUUUUCCAUGGAUUCCAUGGAUUCGAACCAAAAACUUGCCAAAAAUCCCCCCCGAGGAUUUGGAAUUUCAGCUGCUGGAAGGAGAAUUUUAUUGGGAUUUUUGAUCAGAAAUAUCAGAAAAUGAUUUUUUAGCUCCAGAAUUGGAAUUUUGGCAUCAAGCUCCAGGGAAAAAGUGAUGGGGAGGGAAAAGGAGGUGGAAAAAAUGGGAGAAAUCGGCAAUUUCCUGGGAUCAGAGGCGGACGUUGGAGUCCGUGAAUUCCCAAAUCCAGAAUUCCCAAAUAAAUCCUGGGAUUCCCGGGAUCACAGCCAGAUGUCGGAGGUGCCGUUCCCCAUUCCCGAUUCCCGGGAUUCCCGGGAUCACAGCCAGAUGUCGGAGGUGCAGUCCCCCCCCGGGUACCGCAUCUCGUGCGCCAGGCAGGGCCCGCCCGGCUCCUUCCCGAAAUCCACCAGGAAUUUGGGAUUGACGGCCAGGCCGCCCCGCUCCGUGUCCACGUCCAGCUGCAGCAGCACUGAGCCUUCCCUGGGGGCACCGAGACCACUUAACUACUCAUUAAUAAUCAAUUAUUAAUAAUUAAUAAUAAUUAUUAAUAAUUAUUAAUAAUUAUUAACAAUAAUUAAUAAUGAUUAAUGAUGAAUUCUUGCUGAUGUGGGCCCUGACCUGAGCAGCUCGGGGUAGAAGAGCCGGUCCCAGGCGCUGUACAGGGAGGUGCUCACGUAGAGCCGCCGCCCGUCCAGGCUCAGCUGCAGCAUCUGCGGCCCCCCCGGCACCUUCCUGCCCUGGGAACCCACAGGAAAUCAAUUAAUCAAUCAAUCCAUCAAUCAAUCAAUCAUCCCACAGGAAAUCAAUCAAUCAAUCCAUCAAUCCAUCAAUCAUCCCACAGGAAAUCAAUCAAUCAUCCCACACGAAAUCAAUCAAUCAUCCCACAGAAAAUCAAUCAUCCCACAGGAAAUCAAUCAAUCAAUCAUCCCACAGGAAAUCAAUCAAUCAAUCAUCCCACAGGAAAUCAAUCAAUCAUCCCACAGGAAAUCAAUCAUUCCACAGGAAAUCAAUCAAUCAUCCCACAGGGAAUCAAUCAAUCAUCCCACAGGAAAUCAAUCAAUCAAUCAAUCAAUCAAUCAUCCCACAGGAAAUCAAUCAAUCAAUCAAUCGAAAUCAAUCAAUCAAUCAAUCAAUCAAUCAUCCCACAGGAAAUCAAUCAAUCAAUCAAUCAAUCAUCCCACAGGAAAUCAAUCAAUCCAUCCAUCAAUCAAUCAUCCCACAGGAAACCAACCAAUCAAUCAAUCAAUCAAUCAUCCCACAGGAAACCAACCAAUCAAUCAUCCCACGGGGAAAUAAAUCCCACUGGGAAUCAUCCCA
RNAcentral lists this long non-coding RNA (1410 nucleotides) under Cyanistes caeruleus (blue tit). RNAcentral describes it as "lncRNA (ENSCCEG00000008214.1)". Lineage: Eukaryota; Metazoa; Chordata; Aves; Passeriformes; Paridae. The record is from RNAcentral.